GCCCGCCUAGCUCAAUCGGAUAGAGCGUCAGACUUUUACGAUUGUUGGAUUCAUCUGACGUAAUCUGAAGGCUGCGAGUUCGACCCUCGCGGUGGGCU
RNAcentral lists this transfer RNA (98 nucleotides) under Suillus luteus UH-Slu-Lm8-n1. It matches the Rfam family "tRNA". Rfam says of the family: Transfer RNA (tRNA) molecules are approximately 80 nucleotides in length. Lineage: Eukaryota; Fungi; Basidiomycota; Agaricomycetes; Boletales; Suillaceae. The record is from Rfam by way of RNAcentral.